UUACGGCCAUACCAUGUUGAAACACCGAUCCCCGUACGAUCACCGAAACGUUAAGCAACGUCAAGUCUGGUCAGUACCUGGAUGGGUUAUCGCUUGGGCAUACCAGGUGUUGUAAG
Non-coding RNA from Acanthosepion pharaonis, 116 nucleotides. The record is from the annotation of a GenBank genome assembly. Lineage: Eukaryota; Metazoa; Mollusca; Cephalopoda; Sepiida; Sepiidae.